RNAcentral lists this small RNA (96 nucleotides) under Mytilus galloprovincialis (Mediterranean mussel). The record is from RNAcentral. Lineage: Eukaryota; Metazoa; Mollusca; Bivalvia; Mytilida; Mytilidae.
UUUUUUUAUCUUAACCUUUGACCUAGGAAUUUGUACAUACAUUAUGACAUAUCCAUAAUGUAUGUAAAACUUUCUAGGUCAAAGGUCAGGGUCAAA